This 1217-nucleotide ribosomal RNA is filed under the name uncultured Rhizaria. RNAcentral's name for it is "SSU rRNA". It matches the Rfam family "Eukaryotic small subunit ribosomal RNA", at positions 577 to 1804 of the family's 1831-position model. The record is from RNAcentral.
CGGUAAUUCCAGCUCCAAUAGCGUAUACUAAAGUUGUUGCAGUUAAAAAGCUCGUAGUUGGAUUUCUGCGGGGACGGAGCGGCCGGUCGCAACUUGCGACUCGAGCUAGCGCUUUCCCCGCAUCCUGCCGCGAACCGUGCUACCAUUAGUUUGGUGGCGCUGGGGAUCGGCUCGAUUACUUUGAGAAAAAUAGAGUGUUCAAAGCAGGCCACACGCCUUGAAUAAGUUAGCAUGGAAUAAUGACUAAGGACUUUGGUUCUUUUCGUUGGUGUUCGGGACUGAAGUAAUGAUUGAUAGGGACAGUUGGGGCGGUCCGUAUUCCAAAGCGAGAGGUGAAAUUCUUAGACCUUCGGAAGACGAACAGCUGCGAAAGCGUUCCGCAAGGAUGUUCCCUUUGAUCAAGAACGAAAGUUGGGGGAUCGAAGACGAUCAGAUACCGUCGUAGUCUCAACUAUAAACUAUACCAGCUAGGGAUCGGCCAACGUUUAAUUAUUCGACUUGGUCGGCACCUUAUGAGAAAUCAAAGCAUCUGGGUUCCGGGGGGAGUAUGGUCGCAAGGCUGAAACUUAAAGGAAUUGACGGAAGGGCACCACCAGCCGUGGAGCCUGUGGCUUAAUUUGACUCAACACGGGAAAACUUACCAGGUCCGGACAUAGUAAGGAUUGACAGAUUGAUAGCUCUUUCUUGAUUCUGUGGGUGGUGGUGCAUGGCCGUUUUUAGUCGGUGGAUGUGAUCUGUCUGCUUAAUUGCGUUAACGGACGAGACCCCAGCCUGCUAAAUAGCGCGGCCGAGCUUUGCUCGGUGCGAGCUUCUUAGAGGGACCAUGAUGCGCGAUAGCACAAGGAAGUUUGGGGCAACAACAGGUCUGUGAUGCCCUUAGAUGUUCUGGGCCGCACACGGGCUACACUGGCGCCUGCAACGAGCAUAUCAGCUGGCCCGAGAGGGUCUUGGCUAAUCUUUGGAACCGGCGCCGUGCUUGGGAUUGACCAUUGCAAUUGUUGGCCAUGCAACGAGGAAUGCCUUGUAAACGCGAGUCAUCAGCUCGCAUUGAAUACGUCCCUGCCCUUUGUACACACCGCCCGUCGCUCCUACCGAUGAAUGUUCCGAUGAAAUUUUCGGAGAGCGCCGGAGAACGGGGCUCUGCCCUGCAGAACUGGAGGCUCAAAGUCACCUAAAUCUGAACAUUUCGAGGAAGGAGAAGUCGUAACAAGGUAACC